UACGUAGGGUGCAAGCGUUGUCCGGAAUUAUUGGGCGUAAAGAGCUCGUAGGCGGUUUGUCGCGUCGAAUGUGAAAACCCGGGGCUCAACCCCGGGCCUGCAUUCGAUACGGGCAGACUAGGGUUCGGUAGGGGAGUCUGGAAUUCCUGGUGUAGCGGUGAAAUGCGCAGAUAUCAGGAGGAACACCGGUGGCGAAGGCGGGACUCUGGGCCGAUACUGACGCUGAGGAGCGAAAGCGUGGGGAGCAAACAGG
This 253-nucleotide ribosomal RNA is filed under the name uncultured bacterium. RNAcentral's name for it is "partial 16S ribosomal RNA". It matches the Rfam family "Bacterial small subunit ribosomal RNA", at positions 524 to 776 of the family's 1533-position model. The record is from RNAcentral.